GACGAACGCUGGCGGCGUGCUUAACACAUGCAAGUCGAACGGAAAGGCCCUGCUUUUGUGGGGUGCUCGAGUGGCGAACGGGUGAGUAACACGUGAGUAACCUGCCCUUGACUUUGGGAUAACUUCAGGAAACUGGGGCUAAUACCGGAUAGGAGCUCCUGCUGCAUGGUGGGGGUUGGAAAGUUUCGGCGGUUGGGGAUGGACUCGCGGCUUAUCAGCUUGUUGGUGGGGUAGUGGCUUACCAAGGCUUUGACGGGUAGCCGGCCUGAGAGGGUGACCGGCCACAUUAGGACUAAGGGACGGACCAGACGCGUACGGGAGGCAGCGGUAGGGAGUAUUGCACAGUGGGCGGAAGCCUGAUGCAGCGACGCCGCGUGCGGGAUAACGGCCUUCGGGUUGUAAACCGCUUUCGACUGAAACGAAGCGUGAGUGACGGUAAUGGGUAAAGAAGCACCGGCUAACUACGUG
This 468-nucleotide ribosomal RNA is filed under the name uncultured bacterium. RNAcentral describes it as "partial 16S ribosomal RNA". It matches the Rfam family "Bacterial small subunit ribosomal RNA", at positions 28 to 507 of the family's 1533-position model. The record is from RNAcentral.